This 430-nucleotide ribosomal RNA is filed under the name Pseudomonadota bacterium. RNAcentral describes it as "Proteobacteria bacterium partial 16S ribosomal RNA". It matches the Rfam family "Bacterial small subunit ribosomal RNA", at positions 355 to 776 of the family's 1533-position model. Lineage: Bacteria; Pseudomonadati; Pseudomonadota. The record is from RNAcentral.
UGUGGAAUAUUGGACAAUGGGGGGAACCCUGAUCCAGCCAUGCCGCGUGUGUGAAGAAGGCCUUAUGGUUGUAAAGCACUUUAAGCGAGGAGGAGGGUACUGGUAUUAAUACUACCAGGUACUGGACGUUACUCGCAGAAUAAGCACCGGCUAACCCUGUGCCAGCAGCCGCGGUAAUACAGAGGGUGCGAGCGUUAAUCGGAUUUACUGGGCGUAAAGCGUGCGUAGGCGGCUAAUUGAGUCGGAUGUGAAAUCCCCGAGCUUAACUUGGGAAUUGCAUUCGAUACUGGUUAGCUAGAGUGUGGGAGAGGAUGGUAGAAUUCCAGGUGUAGCGGUGAAAUGCGUAGAGAUCUGGAGGAAUACCGAUGGCGAAGGCAGCCAUCUGGCCUAACACUGACGCUGAGGUACGAAAGCAUGGGGAGCAAACAGG